ACGUAGGGUGCGAGCGUUAAUCGGAAUUACUGGGCGUAAAGCGUGCGCAGGCGGCUUUGCAAGACAGAGGUGAAAUCCCCGGGCUCAACCUGGGAACUGCCUUUGUGACUGCAAGGCUAGAGUACGGCAGAGGGGGAUGGAAUUCCGCGUGUAGCAGUGAAAUGCGUAGAGAUCCGGAGGAACCCCGGUGGCGAAGGCGACUUACUGGGCCUGAACUGACGCUCAGACGCGAAAGCAUGGGGAGCGAACGG
This 251-nucleotide ribosomal RNA is filed under the name uncultured prokaryote. Its description in RNAcentral is "partial 16S ribosomal RNA". It matches the Rfam family "Bacterial small subunit ribosomal RNA", at positions 525 to 775 of the family's 1533-position model. The record is from RNAcentral.